GUACUUACUCCUACGGGAGGCAGCAGUGGGGAAUUUUGGACAAUGGGCGAAAGCCUGAUCCAGCCAUGCCGCGUGAGUGAAGAAGGCCUUCGGGUUGUAAAGCUCUUUCAGCCGGAAAGAAAUCGCGCAGGAUAAUACUCUGCGUGGAUGACGGUACCGGAAGAAGAAGCACCGGCUAACUACGUGCCAGCAGCCGCGGUAAUACGUAGGGUGCGAGCGUUAAUCGGAAUUACUGGGCGUAAAGCGUGCGCAGGCGGUUAUGUAAGACAGAUGUGAAAUCCCCGGGCUCAACCUGGGAACUGCGUUUGUGACUGCAUAACUAGAGUACGGCAGAGGGAGGUGGAAUUCCGCGUGUAGCAGUGAAAUGCGUAGAUAUGCGGAGGAACACCGAUGGCGAAGGCAGCCUCCUGGGCCAGUACUGACGCUCAUGCACGAAAGCGUGGGGAGCAAACAGGAUUAGAAACCCGAGUAGUCCAGGCAU
Molecule: ribosomal RNA, 481 nt
Filed under: uncultured bacterium
Lineage: Bacteria
Description: bacterial SSU rRNA
Rfam family: Bacterial small subunit ribosomal RNA
Source: RNAcentral